AGAAUCAACGCUGGCGGCGUGCCUAACACAUGCAAGUCGAACGAGAAAGUGGAGCAAUCCAUGAGUAAAGUGGCGCACGGGUGAGUAACACGUGACUAACCUACCCUUGAGUGGGGGAUAACCUAGGGAACCUGGGCUAAUACCGCAUAAUACCUUCGGGUCAAAGGAGCAAUUCGCUUUAGGAGGGGGUCGCGGCCGAUUAGUUAGUUGGCGGGGUAAUGGCCCACCAAGACUGUGAUCGGUAU
This 245-nucleotide ribosomal RNA is filed under the name uncultured bacterium. Its description in RNAcentral is "partial small subunit ribosomal RNA". It matches the Rfam family "Bacterial small subunit ribosomal RNA", at positions 26 to 286 of the family's 1533-position model. The record is from RNAcentral.